UGGGGAAUAUUGCACAAUGGGGGAAACCCUGAUGCAGCGACGCCGCGUGAAGGAAGAAGUAUUUCGGUAUGUAAACUUCUAUCAGCAGGGAAGAAAAUGACGGUACCUGACUAAGAAGCCCCGGCUAACUACGUGCCAGCAGCCGCGGUAAUACGUAGGGGGCAAGCGUUAUCCGGAUUUACUGGGUGUAAAGGGAGCGUAGGCGGUCUGACAAGUCAGAAGUGAAAGCCCGGGGCUCAACCUCGGGACUGCUUUUGAAACUGCCGGACUAGAUUGCAGGAGAGGUAAGUGGAAUUCCUAGUGUAGCGGUGAAAUGCGUAGAUAUUAGGAGGAACACCAGUGGCGAAGGCGGCUUACUGGACUGUAAAUGACGCUGAGGCUCGAAAGCGUGGGGAGCAAACA
Molecule: ribosomal RNA, 402 nt
Filed under: uncultured bacterium
Lineage: Bacteria
Description: bacterial SSU rRNA
Rfam family: Bacterial small subunit ribosomal RNA
Source: RNAcentral